RNAcentral lists this ribosomal RNA (477 nucleotides) under uncultured bacterium. RNAcentral describes it as "partial 16S ribosomal RNA". It matches the Rfam family "Bacterial small subunit ribosomal RNA", at positions 28 to 507 of the family's 1533-position model. The record is from RNAcentral.
GAUCAACGCUGGCGGCGUGCCUAACACAUGCAAGUCGAACGAUGAAGAUUAAAAGAUUUCUUCGGAACGAACUUAAUUGGCUUAGUGGCGACCGGGUGAGUAACGCGUGAGUAACCUGCCUUGUACACGGGGAUAGCCGUUGGAAACGACAAAUAAUAUCCUAUGACAUCAAAUAAUCGCAUGAUAAUUUGUUCCAAGAUUUAUCGGUAUAAGAUGGACUCGCGUCUGAUUAGCUAGAUGGUAGAGUAAAAGCCUACCAAGGCAACGAUCAGAAGCCGGCUUGAGAGAGUGUACGGCCACAUUGGGACUGGGACACGGCCCAGACCCCUACGGGAGGCAGCAGGGGUGAAUGUGGCACAAUGGGGGAAACCCGGAUGCAGCGACGCCGCGAGAUUUAGAAGGCCGUCGGGUUGUAAUAAUCUUGUGUAUGUGAAGAAAAUGACAGUACCAUACGAAUAAGGACCGGCUAAUUACGUG